GUGCAAAUUAAAGGAAACUGCAUUUCUUAUAGUCUGAACCAAUGUAACAGGUACUAUUUUCAGCACAUCCAGAUUUUCUAGUUUUUAAUUUCUUGUUGCUCUUCUGCAAAUCCAGAUGGAAACUGCUCAACAGAACAAGUGGAAAAGGAAGAAAAGGCAAUUUAGUCUCUUUGGCCAUUAAAAGGUACAAUACUGAGAGCAAGUGGGUCAGUGUGAAUAAAACAUGCAGGAUCAAAGAGCAUCUGGAUAUUAUUCCAUCCUGUUAAAGAACUUCACUGGUGCAGAAUCUAAAGACAUUCUUCUUAAAGGCUAAAAUCAGCUCAAGAAAAGACAGCCCAUACAAGGACCCUGAGCUGUCAGAGGAUGAACACCUCAGCAGACCAUUUUGACCAGUCAAAGCUGAUUAUUCCAUUCAAAUUCUUCAUAUGCAAGUGCAAGGCUGCACUCCGAGGCAUCACAGAAGAUGCAGAAGGAAUUUGGGACUCUAUUUCUGAUGUGCUGGAAAUGUGAUGCUGUUACUUUGAGGGCUCCUCUGACCACAUAUAAGAUUCAAUAAACAGCAUUACAGUGAAUUUGGGGUCRCUGUUAAAUAUUUUUUUAGGCCAUAGUUUUAA
Molecule: long non-coding RNA, 614 nt
Organism: Malurus melanocephalus (red-backed fairy wren)
Lineage: Eukaryota; Metazoa; Chordata; Aves; Passeriformes; Maluridae
Exons: 5
Source: RefSeq, a predicted model, not a curated record